Molecule: ribosomal RNA, 253 nt
Filed under: uncultured bacterium
Lineage: Bacteria
Description: partial 16S ribosomal RNA
Rfam family: Bacterial small subunit ribosomal RNA
Source: RNAcentral
UACGUAGGGUGCAAGCGUUGUCCGGAAUUACUGGGCGUAAAGGGCGCGUAGGCGGUUCGAUAAGUCCUGUGUGAAAUCCCCCGGCUCAACUGGGGAACUGCACAGGAAACUAGCGGGCUUGAGUUCGGGAGAGGGAAGCGGAAUUCCGGGUGUAGCGGUGAAAUGCGUAGAUAUCCGGAGGAACACCGGUGGCGAAGGCGGCUUCCUGGACCGACACUGACGCUGAGGCGCGAAAGCUAGGGGAGCAAACGGG